This 740-nucleotide long non-coding RNA is filed under the name Eptatretus burgeri (inshore hagfish). RNAcentral describes it as "lncRNA (ENSEBUG00000017416.1)". Lineage: Eukaryota; Metazoa; Chordata; Myxini; Myxiniformes; Myxinidae. The record is from RNAcentral.
UUUGCUGGAGAUGUGAAAGAAUGUUCUGGAAAGCAUCUCUUGCCAGAGUUCUGUCGGUAUGUUGUUUACAGAUUUCUCCAGUCACAGAGUGGGGUCUGACAAAUGCUUUUUUUAAAACAAAUCAGCCGACCCAUCAAGCAUCCCCCUGGAAUCCUGCUGUGCAACAGCCUGUGGAGACUAUGAGUCCUUUUGUUCCAUUUUCAAAUCCAAGAAGCGUGUUCGAACCUCCAGUGUCCAAGGUCGGUGUCCCACAAGAUGCUAAUUUUACCGAUGCUGAGCAGCAACAUUUUCCCUUUUCAUCCAAACAACCAUGGCUUUGGGAGUCUCCUGUAACCAUAUUACCUUCAUCGACUGGUGGCGCGUUCAUGACGAGCUCAGAUUUUCUGCGCACAUCAAAGCAGAACUACUUGCUGCCUGAAAAAAAACAACUCAGCCUACUCAAGAUGGAAGCGACUAUUCUACACUGCACCACUGAACGACCACAGGAACUGCACAAUUUUUUCAACCCAAAUGCUGAUGAAAUUUCUGAAGACAGUCUCUCCCAAAGCUACUCUCUGGAAGAGCCUCAGGAUUACAGAUGCGAGGCAUCGAAGCCGGAGGGCUUUGCGGACGUGAUCGAACCUCAUCCAAGGGUUUUCUGAGCAGCACAACUCAAGUCGGUUCCUCACCACCAGGUCACUAUAUCCUACUUACUGUUUCUAUUUUCCACGAAUUUCUGUAUGCAACUUGUGUCUGAAUCU